UUCACUUUGAUUCAAUCUGUCUAUCAGGAACGACAUUGACUCUAAAGUAUUAUCGUUAACAUUUCUGUCAAACAACAAUCUCGAAUCAAUUUGGAAGUUAAUAAAGAAAUUCAGACUAGCAUAAAUUUCUUUAGCUGUGUCGGUGAUGUCUGAUUCUCCUGAAAGCAUCAUGUCGACGAGUCUGUUACGAAUGACAACUUUACAAUGCCACGCGAAUGCUUUGUGUAAGUAUGUACUGUAACAUGGUAUAGCACCUAAAAGGGUAGAGAGUUGUUCCAUCACCAUGAUAUCGCAUAGAUGUUGACGCGACAAACAUUCUUCGAGUUUGCGACGCGUGUUAAGAACAUCGCGCAUACGCUGAUCGAUAUCUACUACACCACCAUCAUCAUCUUCUGCAACAACGUACAACCGAUCGCUCUGUCGUGUCAACAGUUUUGCCACAGAUUCUUGAAUGGUUCCGUUUUCCGAAAUCGUCACUUCUACAGGUGGGGUUAGAAUCAGGGUGUUGAGCGUGUCCGUUAUGUUGAUUCUCUUUUUCAAGUAACUUAACAGUUUGAUGAGAGAAGCCAAUCUUACGUGCUUGUGCUUGAAUCUGUCAACAUUGGAGAGUAACACAGCGUAAUAUGUUGACAAUUCAUCCAUAGCUUGUUCAGAAUAUGCAGUUCUAGGUUCAUUAACAAGACUAGGAGGUACGGCCGUAGCCGUAGUAUUUGUGUUAGUUGCAACAUUUUCUUCGUCUAAUUUUCUCUUCUUAGACUGCACCGCCGUCAGACAAUCAGUCGUUGAUUUGGCUUUCAUCGUCUUGUGAUCGGAUAUAGCUAUUACAUUACCAAUGUUAUUUCUGAUAAAAGAUUUCAUGGAGUGAAUCAAGGAAAAGUUAUCCAAGGAUUUCCUGUAACUUUGAGUACAUUUGUAUUUGUGUUAGUGUUACAGAUGGUACAGUACUGGGACGCGACGUGUUUCACUUGCGGAUUUGUGCUUGUCCGACACGAGAUUUAAAGACAGACGAACAAGCUAACUCUAAGAAGAGAAGAUUAAAACGCAAAAGAUAUUCAACUGAGACUCAGAUCGCAAAAAUACCAAAACUAGUUGACCCAGAGCCUCAUGUGUCCAACUUAAAUGAAGUUUACAACAUUAAGGUAGUUGGACGUCAGUUGUACUUGUUCAUGAUGAAGAUCAUGCAGUUUUACUCCAGCACCCACCUGAACAUUCCUGACGCUCCAUGUCAACAAAACGAAAACACGAUGGUACACCAAGAGCAGGAUGUGCUCAUGAGAAACAUGUAUUCUAAUAAUCUGAAGAAGCUCAAAGAAAAGCUGAAGAACUUGAGAGAAGAAAGCAAACAGGGGAGUGAGCAGAAAAGCAUCGAAAUUAUAGAAAUAGAAAGCCCAGAAAACUCAGAAAAAGAAAAACAGGGAAGCC
Eriocheir sinensis (Chinese mitten crab) is the source of this 1422-nucleotide long non-coding RNA. RefSeq lists it as uncharacterized. The transcript is spliced from 3 exons. The record is from RefSeq and is a predicted model, not a curated record. NCBI's taxonomy places the organism in Eukaryota, Metazoa, Arthropoda, Malacostraca, Decapoda, Varunidae.